Molecule: ribosomal RNA, 372 nt
Filed under: Triticum aestivum (bread wheat)
Lineage: Eukaryota; Viridiplantae; Streptophyta; Magnoliopsida; Poales; Poaceae
Description: partial small subunit ribosomal RNA
Source: RNAcentral
AUGGGGAGGGACUAUGUCCCUCCUUCGUUCAAAGAAGUGCAGGACUUAUGGCUUGAUUUAAAGGAUCCUGAAGAUAACAAACUGACCUUGAAAGGUCUUCGUAAGAAGAUGAUUGGCGAAGAGAGGCCACGGUUUGUGAAGCCUUAUGUCUUGUACACCAUUGGCAAGUUGGUUUGCCCAACGACACAACCCUAUGUUGAUCCCAAAUAUUUGGGAAUUGUUAUCGACAUACAUACUAUAAACUCCAUAAAUUAUGCUAAACUAUCUCUUGACCACUUAAUGUCAAGUGUGAGGAAGUUUGUGAACGGUGCCGCAAACUUGGAGGGAAAUCUCCCACUACUGCAGGUAGUACAAACUCAUUAUUUCCUAUGA